This 441-nucleotide ribosomal RNA is filed under the name uncultured bacterium. RNAcentral's name for it is "partial 16S ribosomal RNA". It matches the Rfam family "Bacterial small subunit ribosomal RNA", at positions 338 to 795 of the family's 1533-position model. The record is from RNAcentral.
CCUACGGGGUGCAGCAGUGGGGGAUAUUGCACAAUGGGGGGAACCCUGAUGCAGCGACGCCGCGUGGGUGAAGGAGUGCUUCGGCAUGUAAAGCCCUAUCGGCAGGGAAGAAGCAAGACGGUACUUGACUAAGAAGCCCCGGAUAAUUACGUGCCAGCAGCUGCGGUAAGACGUAGGGGGCGAGCGUUAUCCGGAUUCACUGGGGGUAAAGGGAGCGUAGACGGCAAUGCAAGCCAGGAGGGAAAGCCCGGGGCCCAACCCCGGGACUGCCCUUGGAACUGCAUGACUGGAGUGCGGGAGAGGCAGGCGGAAUUCCUGGUGUAGCGGUGAAAUGCGUAGAUAUCAGGAGGAACACCAGCGGCGAAGGCGGCCUGCUGGACCGCAACUGACGUUGAGGCUCGAAAGCGUGGGGAGCGAACAGGAUUAGAUACCCCAGUAGUC